This 749-nucleotide ribosomal RNA is filed under the name uncultured Flavobacteriales bacterium. RNAcentral describes it as "bacterial SSU rRNA". It matches the Rfam family "Bacterial small subunit ribosomal RNA", at positions 28 to 776 of the family's 1533-position model. Lineage: Bacteria; Pseudomonadati; Bacteroidota; Flavobacteriia; Flavobacteriales. The record is from RNAcentral.
GAUGAACGCUAGCGGCAGGCCUAACACAUGCAAGUCGAGGGGUAGAAGGAGCUUGCUCCUUUGAGACCGGCGCACGGGUGCGUAACGCGUAUGCAACCUGCCUUCCACAGGGGAAUAGCCCAGAGAAAUUUGGAUUAAUGCCCCAUGGCACAGCGAGACGGCAUCGUCUUGCUGUUAAAGUAACAACGGUGGAAGAUGGGCAUGCGUCCCAUUAGCUAGUUGGUAAGGUAACGGCUUACCAAGGCUAUGAUGGGUAGGGGUCCUGAGAGGGAGAUCCCCCACACUGGUACUGAGACACGGACCAGACUCCUACGGGAGGCAGCAGUGAGGAAUAUUGGUCAAUGGUCGCAAGACUGAACCAGCCAUGCCGCGUGCAGGAUGACGGUCCUAUGGAUUGUAAACUGCUUUUGUACGGGAAGAAACACUCCUACGUGUAGGGGCUUGACGGUGCCGUAAGAAUAAGGAUCGGCUAACUCCGUGCCAGCAGCCGCGGUAAUACGGAGGAUCCGAGCGUUAUCCGGAAUCAUUGGGUUUAAAGGGUCCGUAGGCGGCCCUGUAAGUCAGCGGUGAAAUCUCCCGGCUCAACCGGGAAACUGCCGUUGAUACUGCAGGGCUUGAAUUGCCGGGAAGUAACUAGAAUAUGUAGUGUAGCGGUGAAAUGCUUAGAUAUUACAUGGAAUACCGAUUGCGAAGGCAGGUUACUACCGGCGUAUUGACGCUGAUGGACGAAAGCGUGGGGAGCGAACAGG